GAUCAGCCCCACCAUCGUCUUUGUCCCUUCAUCUCAGAACUGAAGGUGACAGAAUAUAAAACCAGGAGCAAAGGAGAUGUAAACUCAGAGAAAAAACACUAGCGGACGAAAGCGCAGAGACGAGAACCGGCAUUGACCAUCGUCGUCACAGUCUUCAGCAACCAGCCUCCAAAACCAGAGGCAGCAGAACAAAGAAUCAGAAACAAGAAAAGAGGACAGAGGAAAAACAGAACAGGGAAGGCAAACAAGCCCAACACAGAGACGAAAACGAGAAAACACAGAGGAGGGAGCUUCCAUUCAACCAGCAGCACCUCAGGCCUUUAUCACCAUCGAGACAGACAGGAAACGAG
Molecule: long non-coding RNA, 350 nt
Filed under: Populus trichocarpa (black cottonwood)
Lineage: Eukaryota; Viridiplantae; Streptophyta; Magnoliopsida; Malpighiales; Salicaceae
Description: long non-coding RNA (PTRI_LNC003092)
Source: RNAcentral